Molecule: ribosomal RNA, 259 nt
Filed under: uncultured prokaryote
Description: partial 16S ribosomal RNA
Rfam family: Bacterial small subunit ribosomal RNA
Source: RNAcentral
AGAUUGAACGCUGGCGGCAUGCCUAACACAUGCAAGUCGAACGGUAACAGGCCCUUCGGGGUGCUGACGAGUGGCGGACGGGUGAGUAAUGCGUAGGAAUCUACCCACGAGUGGGGGAUAGCCCGGAGAAAUCCGGAUUAAUACCGCAUAUACCCUACGGGGUAAAGCGGGGGAUCGUAAGACCUCGCGCCGGUGGAUGAGCCGAAGCCGGAUUAGCUAGUUGGUAGGGUAGUGGCCUACCAAGGUCGACGAUCCGUAG